RNAcentral lists this small nucleolar RNA (102 nucleotides) under Catagonus wagneri (Chacoan peccary). RNAcentral describes it as "Small nucleolar RNA U13 (ENSCWAG00000014495.1)". It matches the Rfam family "Small nucleolar RNA U13". Lineage: Eukaryota; Metazoa; Chordata; Mammalia; Artiodactyla; Tayassuidae. The record is from Rfam by way of RNAcentral.
AUCCUUUUGUAGUUCAUGAGCAUGAUGACUGGGUUUUCACGCACUUGUGUGACAAGUGUCUCCCUCAAACCUUGUUGUAACAUCAGCACAUUACCUCUGACA